AGAGCGAACGCUGGCGGCAGGCCUAACACAUGCAAGUCGAGCGCCCCGCAAGGGGAGCGGCAGACGGGAGAGUAACACGUGGGAACGUACCCUUUGGUUCGGAACAACACAGGGAAACUUGUGCUAAUACCGGAUAAGCCCUUACGGGGAAAGAUUUAUUGCCAAAGGAUCGGCCCGCGUCUGAUUAGCUUGUUGGUGGGGUAACGGCUCACCAAGGCUACGAUCAGUAGCUGGUCUGAGAGGAUGAUCAGCCUCACUGGGACUGAGACACGGCCCAGACUCCUACGGGAGGCAGCAGUGGGGAAUAUUGGACAAUGGGCGCAAGCCUGAUCCAGCCAUGCCGCGUGGAUGAUGAAGGCCCUAGGGUUGUAAAGUCCUUUCGACGGGGAAGAUAAUGACGGUACCCGUAGAAGAAGCCCCGGCUAACUUCGUGCCAACAGCCGC
This 444-nucleotide ribosomal RNA is filed under the name uncultured bacterium. RNAcentral describes it as "SSU rRNA". It matches the Rfam family "Bacterial small subunit ribosomal RNA", at positions 26 to 518 of the family's 1533-position model. The record is from RNAcentral.